CAUCGCAUCCAGCAUAAAAUGACAAGUGCUAAGACUCCACCGGCAUUGUACCCUACCUGCCAUGUCUCGCGUGGCUCGUGGACGGCAUGAAACUCUCAUUGUCCAGGUUUGAAGGAGAGCAGUUGUCCAGCGUGGUUUCGUUUAAUGUGAGUCUCUCCGCGGCGUUCAAUGACACUGAGCGUAGAGGGUGGAGAGGAUUACAGAGCGCGCAAACGCAGCAGCAGAUGCGCUACAACCGUUGUGUUUUAAGCACAGCCACUGAGCCACUGCCCGCUGUAAGAAUCCAUCUCUGACUGGCUUGUGGUGUCAUCUGCGGAGGAGAAGACAGACAUGAUGAGCUGCAGAACAGGCCUGACUUGAGACGACCCCAGGCUUCCUCAGAGCAGGGUCCAGCUCUCUAGUCUGCACACAGAUACAGCCUGAGGAGAAGUCCACACUGCCAGUAUGGUUCAUCUGCCCACUAGCUCUGUCUGAGAGAGGGGGGGAGAGAAAAAGAUGGGGGGUUCAGCAAAAGAGAGCAACAUAUAAAAUAUUAUGGGAGAAAUAGAGUGAAAUACAGAGACAGAGAGAUGGGAGAAGAGGAGACAAGGGAGAGUAAGAAAGAGAAGAGGACUGGCUUGCCUGAAGCUGAGUGAGCUUAUUAUAAUGUAAAUGUAAUCUGAAGUGUGUGUGUUUCUCUCCAAACCUGGGGCUUGUUGGAUCUGUCUCUCCACGGCUGCACAGAACCUCUCUGCCUCUGCCUCAUCUGCAAAGUUCAGGCCCGCCUGGCAGUCCUAAACAAACACACACAUCAAGGACAAGAACAAUAACCUUUUCAGAGCUAUGCUAUUAGCCAAAGCCUUUUUAGAGCCAGUGCUAUUAUGAGCAUGUUACAGAACCAACCAACCAAUGAACUCACAUAACCCUGUAGGCCUAACCCUAACCCUAGCCCCACACCCUGGCUCAACCCUAACCCUAGCCAUUAACCUAACCCCAACCCUAGCAUAACCCUAACCGUAGUCUCAACACUAACCCUAUCACUAGCUUAAUAUCCACACACUGGCUCAACCGUAGCCUCAGCUCUAACCCUAGCUUUGUGUCCAUACCAGGCUCAACCCUAACCCUAAACAUUAACCUAACCCCAAACCUAGGAUAACCCUAACCCUAGCAUAACCCUCAACCCUAACCCUAUCACUAGCUUAAUAUCCACACACCUGCUCAACCCUAGCUUCAUGUCUACCCCAGGCUCAGCCCUAACCCUAGCUUCAUGUCCACAUCCUGUUUCAACUCUAAUCCUAAUCCUGUUUCAACUCUAACCCUAACCCAUUUAAUAGCAGAAUGUUAAUUAAUUUAAUAUGCCCUUAAAAGCUGUUCCAUGAGCAGAUUUGUUGCUUUGGUUAUCAGGAUUGAAACAUAAUUAUAGAGUUCUGUUUGAUAAGGGAAUAACUUAAAUCUUAAAAUGUGAUUUCAGGGCAUGUCACUUACAUUUGCAGGGAAAGUGUGGAAGUAGGGGUGGGGUGCAGAGUAAAGAAAAGGAACAUACAGCUCCUGUUCCCACAGCAACUUAGAUCUCUGGUAGGUUAAAGGAGAAAGAGAGUAGAUUAGAUAAUUAAGUGUACAUAAAGUUGAUUGGAGGUACACAAGACAGACUCCCCAACUCUCAUCAUGAGCCGCCCGGCUGUUACCAAGAACCACAUACCGGAUUUUUAACGGGUCGUUAGCAAAUUAGUUUUCAUAGUAUUUUCUGCAGCUACCUAGCUCAAAUUCUAGAUGUCAGAUUAAAACGAGACCAUAGCAUCCAUAAAGUGACCAUUAGACUUUGAAAAAAAAUUGUAUUGACUA
Oncorhynchus gorbuscha (pink salmon) is the source of this 1821-nucleotide long non-coding RNA. RefSeq lists it as uncharacterized. The transcript has 4 exons. NCBI's taxonomy places the organism in Eukaryota, Metazoa, Chordata, Actinopteri, Salmoniformes, Salmonidae. The record is from RefSeq and is a predicted model, not a curated record.